This 136-nucleotide microRNA precursor is filed under the name Chlorocebus sabaeus (green monkey). Its description in RNAcentral is "miRNA (ENSCSAG00000027524.1)". Lineage: Eukaryota; Metazoa; Chordata; Mammalia; Primates; Cercopithecidae. The record is from RNAcentral.
CAAUAGACAUUUAUUUUCUCACAGUUCUGGAGGCCAGAAGUUCAUGAUCAAGGUGCUGGCAAAUUCAGUUUCUGGUGAGGGCUCUCUUCCUGGCUUGUAGAUAGGCACCUUCUCAGUGUGGCUUCACCUGGCCUUU